RNAcentral lists this small nucleolar RNA (82 nucleotides) under Pteropus vampyrus (large flying fox). RNAcentral's name for it is "Small nucleolar RNA SNORA31 (ENSPVAG00000028430.1)". Lineage: Eukaryota; Metazoa; Chordata; Mammalia; Chiroptera; Pteropodidae. The record is from RNAcentral.
CUGCAGAUGCAAGAAAAAAAGAGUCUUUGUGCUUUCUAUCUGUCUGUCUGUGGCAGCCGAGAUUGAAUGGGGGAAUAUAGGG